ACUCAAAGGAAUUGACGGGGGCUCACACAAGCGGUGGAGCAUGUGGUUCAAUUCGAAGCAACGCGAAGAACCUUACCCGGGUUUGAAAUCCACGGAUGGGUCCGAUGAAAGUUGGAUACCCUGCCCGCAAGGGUGAAACGUGGACAGGUGUUGCAUGGCUGUCGUCAGCUCGUGUCGUGAGAUGUCGGGUUAAGUCCCUCAACGAGCGAAACCCUUGUCUCUAGUUGCCAACGGUUCGGCCGGGGACUCUAGAGAGACUGCCGUUGUGAAAACGGAGGAAGGUGGGGAUGACGUCAAGUCAUCAUGGCCUUUAUGUCCGGGGCUACACACGUGCUACAAUGGGCGGCACAAAGGGAUGCAAAGUCGCGAGACCAAGCAAAACUCAGAAAACCGUCCCCAGUUCAGAUUGGAGGCUGCAACCCGCCUCCAUGAAGAUGGAAUCGCUAGUAAUCGCGGAUCAGCUACGCCGCGGUGAAUAUGUUCCUGGGCCUUGUACACACCGCCCGU
Molecule: ribosomal RNA, 507 nt
Filed under: uncultured bacterium
Lineage: Bacteria
Description: partial 16S ribosomal RNA
Rfam family: Bacterial small subunit ribosomal RNA
Source: RNAcentral